ACCCCCUGGAGUGCUUGGAGUUCCGGGGUCAAUGGUAGGAGUAGGUGGUGUUUCAAUGAUUGGAGUAGUUGGGGUAGUAGGUGUAGGGGAAGGAUAGUAACCACCACCCCCUGGAGUGCUUGGAGUACCAGGGUCAACGGUAGGCGUAGGUGGUGUUUCAAUGGUAGGUGUAGAGGGGGUGGUAGGUGUAGGUGUAGGCGAAGGAUAGUAGCCACCACCACCUGGAGUGCUUGGAGUUCCGGGGUCAGCGGUAGGAGUAGGUGGUGUUUCAAUAGUAGGUGCGGAGGGAGUGGAUGGUGUACUAGGGGUACUAGGUGUAGGAGUACUUGGAGUCGGGGAAGGAUAGUAGCCACUUCCACCCCCUGGAGUACUUGGAGUGCCAGGGUCUGGAGUUGGGGUUACAACAGGUGUAGAGGGGGUGGAUGGUGUACUAGGGGUACUAGGUGUUGGAGUACUAGGAGGGCUUCCUCCACCAUGAUGAGCUGGUGGAGAGGGAGAAUAACCACCACCUCCAUGACCGCCUGAUGGAGGAGAUGGGGUAGG
Molecule: long non-coding RNA, 543 nt
Filed under: Capsicum annuum
Lineage: Eukaryota; Viridiplantae; Streptophyta; Magnoliopsida; Solanales; Solanaceae
Description: long non-coding RNA (CANN_LNC013734)
Source: RNAcentral